This 274-nucleotide ribosomal RNA is filed under the name uncultured bacterium. Its description in RNAcentral is "partial 16S ribosomal RNA". It matches the Rfam family "Bacterial small subunit ribosomal RNA", at positions 523 to 796 of the family's 1533-position model. The record is from RNAcentral.
AUACAGAGGGUGCGAGCGUUAAUCGGAAUUACUGGGCGUAAAGCGCGCGUAGGCGGUCUAUUAAGUCAGAUGUGAAAUCCCAGGGCUCAACCUUGGAACUGCAUCUGAAACUGGUAGACUAGAGUUUUGGAGAGGGAAGUAGAAUUUCAGGUGUAGCGGUGAAAUGCAUAGAGAUCUGAAGGAAUACCAGUGGCGAAGGCGACUUCCUGGCCAAAAACUGACGCUGAGGUGCGAAAGCGUGGGUAGCAAACGGGAUUAGAAACCCCGGUAGUCC